This 468-nucleotide ribosomal RNA is filed under the name Rhodoferax sp. enrichment culture clone MLSB10m7F. RNAcentral describes it as "bacterial SSU rRNA". It matches the Rfam family "Bacterial small subunit ribosomal RNA", at positions 133 to 595 of the family's 1533-position model. The record is from RNAcentral. Lineage: Bacteria; Pseudomonadati; Pseudomonadota; Betaproteobacteria; Burkholderiales; Comamonadaceae.
GUCGUGGGGGAUAACGCAGCGAAAGCUGUGCUAAUACCGCAUACGAUCUAUGGAUGAAAGCGGGGGACCGUAAGGCCUCGCGCGAUUGGAGCGGCCGAUGUCAGAUUAGCUAGUUGGUGGGGUAAAGGCCCACCAAGGCGACGAUCUGUAGCUGGUCUGAGAGGACGACCAGCCACACUGGAACUGAGACACGGUCCAGACUCCUACGGGAGGCAGCAGUGGGGAAUUUUGGACAAUGGGCGCAAGCCUGAUCCAGCAAUGCCGCGUGCAGGAAGAAGGCCUUCGGGUUGUAAACUGCUUUUGUACGGAACGAAACGGUCUGGGUUAAUACCCUGGGCUAAUGACGGUACCGUAAGAAUAAGCACCGGCUAACUACGUGCCAGCAGCCGCGGUAAUACGUAGGGUGCAAGCGUUAAUCGGAAUUACUGGGCGUAAAGCGUGCGCCAGGCGGUUUUGUAAGANAGUCNU